UGUAGAAUCAGCCAGGAUUGGCAUUGGGAGGAUGCACAGUAGUGUGUGAUAUCGUGUGUGAUAUGAGCACGGUUUGUGCGUGUCAUUCGACAUUGUUGCGCACUGCCAGAAGAAGUGGGGCGCACGUUCAGUGCAAAGUGAGGCACAACCGUGUGCGAUGAAAUUGCACCAGAGACUUGAUUUUUCAACUUUUUUUCUUGGUUCUUUAUCAUGCUUUAGCUCCAUAGAAUUGUUCAACAUCCUUUUAGCCCUGAAACAUAAACACAAGCUUUUUGAAGUAAACUAGUUCUAUAAAGUGACAAAAACACACAUAAUUCUAGUGAAAUAAACACUUAGAAAGCACACAAACUAUGACUUAUCAAACUCCCCCAUGCUUGAAUCUUUGCUUGUCCUCAAGCAAAAGGCAAAGAAUAUCAGCAACAUAACAACAUUAACAACACAAACAACAUAAAUAAACAAAUUCAAAUUUUUAUUUCCUCCAAGGCUUUGUUUUCAGCGUACACUUGUUCUUGAGACGAAUGUUGACACAUGCUUCUAUGAUAAAUGAAUUUAAAGAUAAUAUGUUUGUCAUUUUUGUUAUUUUCAAAGAAAACAUAUAAAAGGUUUUUAAAAGAAUUUUCAAAGUUUUUGCUUCAAGUAUUAACAUUAAAAAUGGAAGAAAUUUUGCACAUAGAAUAAAAAAGAAUUCCAAAUAAAGAGGCAUAUGCUCAAAUUGAUUUAAUAGAGUGGUAACCGGCCAAAGGCAUGGCUCCACGAAUUACAAAAUUUGGAAAAUGGUAAUUAUAUGGAGAAGGUACAUUGAACACAAUAACUGUUAUAUUCCCUAACAAUUUUGAAUUCUACUGCUUAGACGCUUCAAUAUCGGAGAACUUCAAACAACUAAAGUGCCCCAAGUGAGUGAUGCUUUAUGCAGUUACUUGUCCUAAAUCCUUAACUUUUGCAUAGAUCACCCUUUUGGGCUUUCGACCUAUCAAGAUAAUCAUUUUUCUUUUUCUUUUUCUUUUUUCUUUUUCUUUUUUCGAUUUCAUUUUUUUUUUGUCUCUAAUUUUUGCCUGGACCGCCCUUUCGGAUUUUCGGCCUACCGAGCUGUUCUUUUAUAUAUGUCUAGACAAAGUAUUGCUUGACCGUAUCAGAAUUCACAGGACGAGAUAACUCCUCUCCAUCCAUAGUUGUAAGAAUUAAAGCACCACCAGAGAAAGCUCUCUUAACCACGUAGGGACCUUAAUAAUUAGGUGUCCACUUGCCCCUGGGGUCUGGUUGAAAAUACUUGAUACUCUUGACCACAAGGUCUUCUUCUUUAAAUUCACGGGGAAGAACCUUCUUAUCAAACGCUUGUUUCAUUCUUGUUUGAUAUAGAUGUCCAUGACACAUCUAGUCAUGCGUUUUUCUUCAAACAAAUUCAACUGAUCAUACCUAUUCUGACACCAUUCAGCUUCAGAUAAUUCAGCUUCUAUCAAGACUCUUAAUGACGGGAUCUCGACUUCCACGGGAAGCACAGCCUCCGUACCAUAUACCAAAGAGAAAGGGGUUACCCUUGUUGAAGUACGCACUGAAGUACAAUAAACAUACAAAUGCAGUCGGUGUUCCACAACAUCAGGGUCUAAUCCUGGCAUAUCCUUGUAUGACCAUGCAAAUAUAUCAUCAUACUCUCUGAGAAGCUCAAUUACUCUUUUCCUAACAGUCGCAUCCAGCAAUGCCCCGAUCUUGAUCUCUUUCUUGUCUUCAUCGGUACCCAAGUUAAUAAUUUCCAUCUCUUCAUGAUGAGGUUGAAUGGCUUUCCUUUCUUGCUCUAACAUCCACUUGAUCUCAACAACGACCCAAUUGCAGCAGCUUCCUCUAGGUGUCACAAAGAAAGGCACCACUUCCUCAGACAGGUCUUCAACAAUUGCAUUAGCCUCAUGUGGAGCAAUAAUAAAUCCAGCGCUAUGAAAAGUACCUGUAGUUGGAUUGAACACCCCUGGCUUAUUAUCAGAAAAUCACAGACCUUCCUUACGCUUGUUUUCAGGCAACUUCACCAACUGACCCCAGCCCUCAGUUUUACCUUACUUUCUGUAUCACCUUCUGAGCAUCUUUCAAAGAAGCCAUGCAUGUUUCACCUUUCUUAGUGCUUCCUUCAACAGUGAGCCCUUGAAAUGACGUCUCAUCUGUACUACCACCACUGAUGUAGGAGAAAGCCGACAAAUGGCUAACCAAUAAAACUGAUUCACCGUUCACAAUUAUUAACUUCCCAUGGCUUACAAAUUUCAACUUCUGAUGGAGAGUGGAUCUUACUGCACCGACUUCAUGAAUCCAAGGCCUACCAAGUAGGCAACUAUAAGAUGCCUAGAUAUCUAUAACCUGGAAAGUAAUUUUAAACUCAUGAGGGCCAAUGGUAAUAGGUAAGUUUAUAUCUCGUAUCACUGACUUCCUAGAUCCAUGAAACGCUUUUAUCAUCACUGUACUGGGCCUAAAAAAGUCAUCCUGAUACGCAAGCUUGUCCAAAGUAGUCUUCGCCAUCACAUUGAGAGAAGAACCAGUAUCUAUUAAAACAUUGGACUUAGAGUCCGACUUGCAGAGAACAGAGAUAUGUAAAGCCAAGUUAUGAUUCUUCCCCUCCGCCAAGAGGUCUUCAUCACUGAAACUCAAGUUGUUGCACAAGGUCACAUUUCCGACUAUGUUAUCAAACUGACCCAGAGUCACAUCAUGGUCUACAUAAGCAUGGUUUAGGACUUUCAUCAAUGCUUCCCUAUGUGCAUCAAAGUUUAUCAGUAGGGACAUUAUGGAGAUCUUAGAAGGAGUUUGUAGCAGCUGAUCCACUACCUUAUACUCACCCCUUAUGAUUAAUUUCAUAAUUUCAUCAUUGUCGUCAUAAACAAUCUUACUAGCCUAUCCUGUAGCUUUGCCUUUACCCGAGUUCUACGCUUCUAUUGCUUCCACAAUCGGAGCACUAGUCUUCCUUUGAACAACAGUGGGGAGAAUACGUCCAAUUCUCAAGACUUCACUACUCUCAGCAAUAUUACUCACAGAUGCUGAAGGAUGCAGAGGUUUACCGUCUUCCAGGAUUGUAGACUCAUACUUGUAUGGAAUAGCCUUCUGAGAGACAUACGGCUUAGGUCCUGGUAAGCAAAUCACUAGGGGGUGUGACCGCUGGCUUGGCACUACUAUAGGUUAUUUCAAGACGUUUCGGGUGCUCCGGGACUUUGAAACAGGAGUAAUUGAAGGUAAAUCGACAUCAACAGAAUAAGCAGCGAAAUAAAAAUUCGAUUUACUUUCCUUGGAUCAUUACGAAUUGGAACUUGAACCAGUGAUUCGAUUGUUACCUUGAACGAUUAGUCUGAAGCGAUCGGUGGAAUCUGCGAACCGGAAUCACGAUCACAGCCAAGCAAACAGCAGAGCCUCUAUCGAGUCCACACGAACAGUGCUCCUCCAAAACCUCGGUGCUAGCCAAGAAGACGGAAGUCAGAGAACUAGGGUUUCUGCAAAGAAUACGUAACCGCAAACUAUUGCACUAGGGUUCUAUUUAUAGAACUCCUUAUGUGCUUUGCAAGUCAAACUCGUUUUUGACUUUACUAAGCCCAAUACGAGUUUAGCAAAUUUUGCUAAAGCAUUAGCAUUAUUUACUAAGCGCAUCCUUUAUAUAAGUCAUACUUAUACAUAUAUAUAUCUCUUUUGACUGCUCUUUGUGUGUGACCCUUUAGGUUCUAGUCACGUUGGCAAUGAUAUUAAAUCUAAUAUUUAAUACCAUAAACAAUGAGCGGUAUCUAGCAACACAUCAUUGCUACCCAAGUGACAAGAAUGUCAAGUGAUCUGACGAAACCUUUCAUGAUAACACAUAGGUGCAUAAUUACUCCUUUGUCACAAUAUCUUCAUUGAUCCCAAGGCAUAGAUAGUGUCACCCUUGUAUAGAUCAAUGUUAAUUUAUCUUGAUUCCGAAAUAUACUAUUUAACGAAUAAGUCCAAUAUCUUAUAUUGACUUAGUUCGGCAUGGCCAUGCAUAUUUAUAGUCAUAUUUCAUCAAGAGGCCUAAAGAUAUAUCUCCUGUUUAUGAGGAGGGACAAAUCCCAUCUAGGACACUCAUGACCCUCAGCAUGAUUCAUCAAGUGCUCAUCAACCAACGUUAUUGUUAUCCUUUUACAGACAACGUUAGAAUGGCAACAAAGCACUUGAGUCCACAUCUAGAGAUCAUAGUGGUUUCAGGUCUAAGAGCGAUAUACAUUAUUAUCAUUGUGAGAAUAUCUUAUGACAAUUUCAUAACUUACUAUGUAGUAUUCUCACAGUGGGUCAAUCCAAUAUAAAUAUUACUCCUAAUAUUUAUAUCUAUGUAUAGACUUGAUAUCUCAUAUCUAUGACCCAUGAGAUGCGGUCAUCAGUCUACAUACAUAAUAGUCUCGACGCUUUAUUAUUAUCCUUUAUUCAUAUUAAAGCUUUGACUAUGGAUACAUUUAAGAAUAGCGUUCUAUAAGAUAAUGUAAUCUCAUGAUUAAGUCACACUUAAUAUAUUAUUUCACGAACUAUCUAUUCUAAGGACUUUAUUAACAUUAUCUAAAUAUAAUAAAGAGUGCCAUAUAUUAUUCAAUAAUAAAAGUCAAGAUACAUAAGAUAGGUUUAACAUAAACUAUUGGCCUCUAGGGCUUACACCAACAGUAAUAACACAGACACUUUUAUCUUCUCUUGUAACAAUUAGUUCCCUUUUAUCCAUCGGCCCUUCUAUAUCCUCUUGAACUUGUAUUCACUCUCGAGAAUCCCCAGAACACACUUCACAGGCGUCAUGAUGACUAAACAGAAUUGCCUCACACAUCUUGACAUGUAUUGGCACCAAAGGAGCUUUGAUAUCUUGGGCACUAAGAACGAGACCAUCUUCCUGAUAAUGCUCGAUCAUAUUGACAGCAGGCCCACGGAAUGGCAGAGGGUUGUUUAGGACGUUUUCUGAAUCUGUGAAGGACAAAUCCUUGCUCUGGAUCAACCUCUGGACUUCAUUCUUGAGAGGGUAGCAAUGCUCAAUAUCAUGCCCUGGUGCCUCUUAAUGGAAGGCAUAGGUGCGGUCAGUGCGGUACCGGGCAGGCAAAGGAUUUUGCACAGGAGGAGGCGGCUUGGUUUGAACUAGAUUGCUGACAAGCAAAGAGGGUAGCAAAUCUCCAUAUAGUAUAUAGUAUAGGUAUAAGAAGGAUUUAGGCUCUUGGAGGGCGACUCUUUUGCUGAGGGGCUUGAGGGUGAGGGUGUAGUUGUUGAGGUGGUGGAGGGUAAUAUGCUUGUUGGUAAAAUGGUUGAGGAUUAUAUGGGUAAGGUUGCUGGUAUAAGGGGGGAUAGUAUGGUGGAGGCCUUUGAGGAUUUUGUGGUCGAUAGUUUUGAUUUUGUGGAGCUGGGAUGGAUAGUGAGAUGUUAGCAACAAAGGGGUAAGCUGGGUACACUGGCUGAGAUCCACCAUGGGCCACCAUGCCGUCCUCUUGAGCAUUCUUCUUUAGAUACCGAUUUCCAAACUUCUUAAUACCAUCGGAAGAACCACCUGACGAACCACCUUCCUUAGUCACACGUCCCUUGCGGAUCCAUUCUUCAAUACGCACCCCCAUGUCUACCAUAUCAGUAAAUUUUUGCGUAACACAGCCAAGCAUUUUCUCAUAGUAGAAUGGACUCGGAGUUUCGAAGAACAACUCAGUCACUUCACUUUCAUCCAAAGGCGGGCAGAUUUCUGGAUGAAUCGUUGAGCAUAUUCCUUGAAGGUCUCCUUGUCCCCCUGCGUAAUAGCUUGCAAUUCUCUCCGGUUGGGUGCCAGGUAUGAAUUUUAUUUCUACUGGUGGACAAAAGCACUUACCAACUCCUCAAAAGUGGUAACACCUUUCAAGUUCAUAUACCAUAUAUUUGCAAUACCAGCCAAACUAUCUUGGAAAUAGUGGAUAAGUAAAGGUUCAUUGUCCUUAUAAGCUGUCAUCUUCCUUGCAUACAUGAUUAAGUGGUUUUGAGGGUAGGUAUCCCCUUUGUACUUCUCAAAGUCCGGUGUCUUGAACUUGGGAGGUUUCACCACAUUUGGAACCAAACAGAGAUCAUUCACAUUCUGACUAAAUGUAUCUUUACCACAGAUGGUCUUUAGCUUUUUCUUUACUGCAUCAAAUUUUUCUUCAAAGGUAUCCACCUUGUCAUCUCCCGCCACACUAUCAGAGUGAUAGAUCUGCUCCCCUCAUGUUGGGCAGGAUGAACAAUAGGUCCUGCAUGAGUGAUGGUAGCUUGAGAAAAUGGCUGAUCGGGUUGAAACAAUGGUGUUGAUUGAAAAGAAACGAUGUUUCUGGAGCACCCGGACGAACACCUUCAUUAGUCAUGAGUGACAUGCCCCAUGGGUAACCUUGAGGCAUGUAGUGCUGAGGAGUGAAAGUGAAACCAGGAGGGCCAGGAGGACGGAAGCCUGCAUUGUACAUAUUUGUCCAAUCACCAGAAGAGACCUCAGUCACAAGAGGUUGUGUAGUACCAGCGAGUGCAGUAGAACCAGGAGCAGUAGAAAAUGGCGGCGGAAUACCGUCAGAUGCAGCGAAACAACAACCGUAGGAAUCGGCUCCAAGACUAGUAUGUGUGCCUUCUCGGCCAUCAUAGUUACCAUCAUAGCCGUUAAUUUCUCCCUUCCUUCCUUGAGUGUAGCCACCUCUUCCCUAAGUUCCUAGUUAUCCUGAUCAGCGGAUGCCAUUCUUUUCUUGAUAUAAGCUCUAGUUCGGAGAGUGCGAGUAUAUUUGUACUGAAUUCAUGGGGCUACCUUUGCUUUUCUGAGGCAGAAAGGAGGAAAAUUUGAGACUUGGUUUUGGACCCUUCAUGAAUGUAGUAUGGUGCAUGAUAUGUUGUAUGCAAAAAUAUGCAAUUUUUAUUGUUUUAUCGAAGAACCUAUAGAAACACUUUUGUAAACAUAACAACUAAACAAUUUCAUUAAAUAAAUAAUGCAUUACAAGAUAAUUCUCUUUCUAACAACAAAGCCAAGGGAUAGACUUACAAAGUAAGAUAAUUCCUUUUUUACCAAACUGAGCCAAGGGAUAGACUCCAAAGUACAUAACAGAAAGCUAGAAAAUAACAUAAAAGUAAACAAUUCGGAAACUCUCAAGCUCCUGAAGCAAACUUAUCCACGAAAUCUGAAUACGGACCGUCAAAGAGAUCCAUACGCCUCUUCUUACUCCCGGGAACCCGGUCAAGUAUGGCAUCCUUCACUUCGAUGGAUUUUCUCAUUUUGACAAUUAUCUUGCGACCUUCCCAAACUUCUUCCUCUAGUAGGCCCAUUACGGUAUCAUAAUCCCGAUCUUUUUUUUUAUACUCUCCUUUCACAUGAAUUUUUCGCGUCCUGCGUCAGCCAAACGCCCCUAAAACUCCUCCAUGGUAUGCAGGUGUAAGGGUAAAUGUAUUUCUAGAGUGGUCGAGGAUAAGAACCUCGGUAAGGUGUAGGGCAUAUCAAAAGUCAUAGCUCUAUCAAUAACCCAUUGCGUAUAGGAUUUAUGUGCAAACCUCUGCUUUUCCCCUAAUUGGAUUCCAUCAAACUUACGAAUAGAGUGUCAAGCUUGCAUAAACCGCAUCCUCAUAUUUGCAUGAUCCUUACUAUUAAGAUAGAAUUCACUGAAUAAAGAAAGGUUGUCAGGCUUCCCUUUUAUAAGGUAUCCAUACUGCGCAUGACAAGAGUUGGUUGUAAGUAAUUCCUCUGCAUGUACCGAUAAGGGGCACAUUAUCAAAUUCUCCACAACUGCCAAUGAUUCCUUAAGUUUUAGCGGCUGCAUGGACCCAAAAAAUGUCGAUCGGGGUGAGAGGCAUGAUCCUUUGAGACUAAAGAGCUUUCCCGGUGUUUGCCUUGGAGAAGACAGAUUAGGGUAAGUGUGAAGCAUACAAUUUGUAUAGCAGAGGUGCACAACAAACAAUAGUUCCAUCCCCUUUGGAGUUUCUAUGGUGGAUUGAAUGGUACGUGUUCGCAAGUAAGGUAGGAACAGGGUUCUUAGUUAGGAAAAUUUUGAUUGCAUUGAGGUCGACAAAGUUGUCCAUGUCGGGAAACAAGAAAAGGCCAUAUAUGAGUAAGCCGAGGACAGAUUCAAAGGCAUCGGUCUUUUUGGCUUUAGCAAAGUCAGAGCCUUUUUGGUAAAGGAAUUUAGCGGUUAGGCCUUGAAAAUUGUUUUUGAUGGUGAAGUGAGGAUGGACUAUGUCGAGGGUAAAUACGUCAAUUGAAACCAUAGUCAUUAUCAAAUGACGUAUUUAUCUUCGACUCCAACAUUUUGGACCUUAACCUCACUAUGUAUUCUAUGUCCUUUAGCAUAACCAUGCAUUCAUCCAUAAAUAUUUUUUCCACUCAUUAAAUUAUGGAGGGACUUAAACAAGCUUUUUGUAAACAUUGUAGAUGAAUCCUCAAACAAGGAGUGUCAAGAAGUAUAGUUUCAAGAAACCGGAUUUGACAAGACUAAGAGAGCUAGGAUCUCAAGUAACUAAUCCAAUUGAUUUCCGAGAUCGUCAUGGGAGAUUGCUGGACCUCCUCAAGGUGAAGGUUGAAGAUGGAAUCAUGGAGACUUUGGUUCAAUUCUAUGAUCCGACCUAUCAUUGCUUUACUUUUGCGGAUUACCAGUUGGUUCCCACUCUUGAGGAGUACUCAGAUUGGGUUGGCUUACUGGUGUCAGAAAGAGAACCUUUCAACGGCCUUGAACCCGCAACCAUUGCAGCAGCUCUCCAUCUUAAACCUUCCGACAUAGUCCAUCCUCACUUCGCCAUCAAAAACAAUUUCCAAGGCCUAACCACAAAAUUCCUCUACCAAAAAGCCUCUGACUUUGCUAAAGCCAAAAUGACCGAUGCCUUUGAAUCUGUCAUCGCCUUACUCAUAUAUGGCCUUUUCUUGUUUUCCAACAUGGACAACUAUAUCAACCUCAAUGCAAUCAAAAUUUUCCUAACUAAGAACACUAUUCCUACCUUACUUGCGGACACAUACUAUUCAAUCCACCAAAGAAACUCCAAAGGGGAUGGAACUAUUGUUUGUUGUGCACCUCUGCUAUACAAAUGGUAUGCUUCACACUUACCCAAAUCCGUAUUCUCCAAGGCAAACACCGAGAAAGCUCUUUGGUCUCAAAGGAUCAUGCCUCUCACCCCGGCCGACAUUGAUUAGGUCCAUGCAGCCGCUAAAACUGAAGGAAUCAUUGGCAGUUGUGGAGAAUUUGAGAAUGUGCCCCUUAUCAGUACAUGCAGAGGAAUUUACAACCCAACCUUUUUCAUGCGCCAGUUCGGAUAACUUAUGAAAGGGAAGCCUAACAACUUUUCUUUAUCUUUAUCUGGUGAAUUCUAUCUUAACAUUAAGGUUCAUGUAAAUAUGAGGAUGCGGUUUGUGCAAGCUUGGCACUCUAUUCGUAAGUUUGUGCAAGCUUGGCACUCUAUUCGUAAGUUUGAUGGAAACCAAUUAGGGAAAAAUAAGAGCUUUGCACAUGAAUUUUAUACGCAGUGGGUUAUUGAUAGAGCUAUGACUUUUGGUAUGCCCUACACCUUACCGAGGUUCUUAUCCACGACCACUCCAGAAAUACCUUUACCCUUACCCUUGAAUACCAUGGAGGAGUUUCAGGUGUGUUUGGCUGACGAAGAACACGAAAAAUUCAUGUGCAAAGGAGAGUAUCAAAAAAAGGAUCAGGAGAAUGAUACCGUAAUAUGCCUCGAUCUUGAUUUCUUUCUUGUCUUCCUCAGUACCCAGAUUGAUGAUUUCUAUCUCUUCCUGAUGAGGUUGAAUUGUCUUUCUUUCUUGUUCCAACAUCCAUUUAAUCUCAUCAGGAAUCUCCUCGUCCUCCUCUACCAUAGCCUCGUAAACCGGGACUUCAAAGUUGGGAGGAAGCAUGGGGUUACUUUGUUCAACGGGCUCAUUUAUGUUCAGUCUGGACAUGAUUCAUGAUUGAUUUUAAAGAGUAAAUGCAGACCUUUGAUUUUGAAAUUUAAAAGAAAAAGAGAAUGAUUUUUGGGAUUUUUAUAAUACCAUUUUUUCCAUAAAAAGCACCAAAAAAUAAAAAUAAGGUAAUAAAGGCUGUGACAGAAACGGCGAUUUUCAUUCAUAAUAAAAGUAUUGGAAGCAAAGACAAAGCCCUACAUGAUUUCACUUUCGUCUUGGGCAGGACGAAAGGAGUUUUCUUAAAAGCAAAAAAGACAAAAGACAAGACCAACAUAUUAAUUAGAACGGGGUAUCGCAGAAGGAAUGUCUACCACAAUCUAGUUGCAGCAGGCUCCUCCAGGUGUCACAAAGAUAGGUGCCACACCUUCAGGUGCAUCGUCUGUAAUUCCAUUGGUCUCUGGCGAAUCAUGGAUGAAUCCGGCACUGUGGAAUGAGCCUUUGGUAGGGUCGAACAUCCUAGGCUUGCUGUUAGGAAAACCAAUUCCCUCUUUGCGUUUGUUCUAUGUUACUCCACUAGCUGACCUCAGCCUUCGGUUUUGCCUUCCUGAAUUACCCUCUAGGCGUCUUUCAACGAAGCCAUACAAGUCUCAAUCUUACCUACACUUUCUUCGGCAGAGACCCCUUGGAAGACGACCCGUCUGAACUAUUACCACCAAUAACGGAGAACGCAAACAGAUUGCUGAUCAAAAAGGCUGACUCAUCACUCACAAUAAUUAGCUUCUCAUGACUUACAAACUUCAGCUUCUGGUGGAGAGUGGAUGUCACUGCCCCAGCGUCAUGAAUCCAUGGUCUGCCAAGUAAACAGCUGCAAGAAGCCUAGAUCCCCAUGACUUGAAAAGUAACCUGAAACUCAUGUGGGCCGACUGAGAUUGGCAAAUCUAUCUCACUAUAUACUGAUCUUCUGGUCCCAUCAAAUGCCAUCACCGUCACCUUACUAGGCCUCAAGAGAGCCACGGAAUAUGUCAAUUGGUCGAGGGUUGAUUUGGGCAUCACAUUAAGAGCAGAGCCGGUGUCUAUCAGAACAUUUGAUAAGGAGUUUGUUUUGCAAAGUACAGAGAUGAGUAAUGCCUGAUUGUGCUUCUUCCCCACCGCCGGGAGGUCUUCAUCACUGAAGCUCAAACUGUUACACGCGGUCACAUUCCCCACAAUACUUUCGAACUGACCCAAAGUCACAUCAUAAUCCACAAAAGUCUGGUCUAGUACUUUCUUCAGGGCAUCCCCAUUAGCACCAGAGCUUGAUAACAGGGACAUUAUGGAAAUCUUUGCAGGGGUUUGUAACAACUGGUCCACCACCUUGUAUUCGCUCCUCUUGAUCAGCUUUAAGAUUUCAUCAGCAUCCUCAUAGUCAACUUCUUUAGGCUGCUCCCCAGCUUUACCUUUACAUGUGCUCCGUUCUUUUACUGUUUCUUCGACCGGAAUACUAACGCUUUUCUAACCCACGGUAGGAAGGACGCGGCUGCUUCUCAAAAUCCGACUACUCUCGGCAAUAUUGUCCGCAUAAGAGGAUGAAGUCGUUUCACUUCCGGGUUCUAGAAUUGUGCCUUCAUACUUAUAGGGUACGGCUUUCUAAGAAGUAGGAGGCGCGGGCCUAGGCACACAGAUUACCAAAGGAGUACCAGCAGGUCUUGCACUGUUAGGGUUAACCACAAGCGGCUUGCUGGCUCUAAAUAUCGGAGUAAUAACACAGACACUUUUACUCUUGACUUCUCUUGUAAUCACAGGUUCCUUUAUAUCUAGGAGACCCUGCACGUCAUUCUGGACUUGCAUGCAACCACGGGGAUCCACCGAACAUAUAUCACAAGCCUCGUGAUCGUGGCUGAAGAGAGCCGCUUCACACAUUUUCGCAUGUAUUGGUACUAAAGGGGUCUUGAUAUCACAUGUGUGGAGAAUGCAAGCCUCUUCCUGACAGUCUUGAAUCAUGUUAACAGCAGGCCCAUGGGGAGGCAGAGGAUUGUUCUAGAGUACAGGAUCAGGGUCGGUGAAAGUUAACUCUUUGCUAUUGAUCAGUUUUUAGACUUCUUUCUUGAGGGCAAAACAACGUUCCACAUCAUGACCUGGUGCCCCUUGAUGAUAAACACAAUGAAGGUCAGGACGGUACCAGCGUGGGAGAUGGUCUGAAAUGCGAGGAUGCAGUAUUGUUUGAACCAGGUUUUGUGCGAGCAAAGAAGGAAGUAAUGCUGCAUAAGUCAUUGGUAUGAGAUCAAAUUGUUGUCUUUGAUUCUGUUGAUUGUAGGGAGCCUGAGGACGGGGUUGUUGUUGUGGUGGGUAGUGUGGCCUUUGCUGGUAUGGUUGUUGGGGGUAAUAUGGUUGUUGAGGGAAUUGUUGUAGGUUGUAUGGUGGUUGAUAUAGUGGUGGAUAGUAUGGUGAAGGCACUUGAGGUCUUGGUGGUUGAUAGUUUGGGUUCUGUGGAGCGAUCAUUUGUGGGGUAAUGUUGGCAACAUAAGGAUGAUUAGGGUACACAGGCUGAGAUCCGCCAUGGGCCACCAUGCCGACUUCUUGAGUAUUCCUCUUUGAGUAACCAUUCUCAAACUUCUUAUUACCAUUAGACGAACUUCCUGCAGAAUUACCUGAAAAACUUCCCGAAGCACCAACUCCCUUACGAGCCCAUUCCUCAAUACGUAUCCCUGUCUCUACCAGGUCGGUAAACUUCUGUGAUGCACAAACAAUCAUUUUCUCUAAAUAGCAAGAGCUCAAGGUCUCAUAGAACAUUUUUGAUAAUUCCCUCUCAUCCAAGGGUGGACGAAUCUGGGCGGCCUUCUGGAUGAAGCGUUAGACAUACUCUUUGAAUGAUUCUUUGUCCUUCUGGGUCAAGGACUGCAACUCUUUGCGACUAGGCGCCAAAUAUGUGUUGUACUUUGCAUGAAAGCAUCAGCCAACUGUUCAAAUGUAGUGAUGCCCUUCAAUCCCAUGAACCAGGUAUGUGCAGGACCGGUCAAACUGUCCUGGAAGCAAUGAAUGAGCAAAGGCACGUUGUUCUUGUAGGUUAUCAUCUUCCUAAUAUACAUAAUCAGAUGAUUUUGUGGACACGUGUCCCCUUGGUAUUUUUCAAACACAGGCACCUUGAAUUUUGGAGGUAUAUUCACAUCUAGUACCAAGCAAAAAUCGUAUAUGUUCUGGACGACUGCUUCUUUACUACGCAUGUUACUCAUCUCUUUCUCUAAAGCACCAAACCUCUUUUCCCAGUUGACUGCUCUGUCAUCCCCCAUCAUACUGUCGGAAUGGUAAAUUUGUUCUUCAUUCCGCAGUAACCGAGAGUGGCCCGGCGUCCUUUCUAGAUAAGCAGGGCAAGGAUAGACUCACCAAAAUUCAAGUCUCACACUUCCCUCAUUUCUGCCGCAGUAACCGAGUGGCCCGACAUAUUCUGAUCAGACCCACCCGCGUUCACAACACUCGAGCCCAUAUCAAGAAGAGGAUGUUAGCUGCAGAAUAGGAAAACGCACAGCUCAGAGAAGAACUUGGUAACCUCAAGGGCGAGAUGGAAAGGAUGGCAAUUAUGAUGGAGACUAUGAUGGCUGAGAGAGAGCAAGCGGCAAUCUCAGAGUCAACCCGUGUUGUGGUCGUCACAGCUGCACCGAAGGGUUCCUCGCAGCCAAUUUCUACUGCUGCUGCAACUAUCGGCCUUACCCAGCCUCUGAUGAUCGAUUUUUCUUCUGGUAAUAUGGAAAAUGUGGGCAACUCAGGCUUCCGUCCUUUUGGCCGCUAGGGUCUCUUCUCCACUCCUCAGUAUUCCAUGCCUCCAGGCUACCCAUGGGGCAUGCCGCUUGCAACUAAUGAGGGUUUUCGUCCAAGUGCUACUGAAAUGCCAUUCGCUCACGGUUAACAGACUUCGCCACUUUUCCAGAUGGGUCAGCUAAUUCCUCAUGCUACUAUGACUCAAGCAGGACCUACUGUGCAUGUUGAGCCACAACAGGAAGAACAGAUUUACCAUUCCGACAGUAUAAUGGGGGAUGACAGAGCAGUCAACUGGGAAAAGAGGUUUGGUGCUUUAGAGAAAGAGAUGAGUAACAUGCGUAGUAAAGAAGCAGUCGUCCAGAACAUAUACGAUUUUUGCUUGGUACCAGAUGUGAAUAUACCUCCAAAAUUCAAGGUGUCUGUGUUUGAAAAAUAUCAAGGGGACACGUGUCCACAAAAUCAUCUGAUUAUGUAUAUUAGGAAGAUGAUAGCCUACAAGAACAAUGUGUCUUUGCUCAUUCAUUGCUUCCAGGACAGUUUGACCGAUCCUGCACAUACCUGGUUCAUGGGAUUGAAGGGCAUCACUACAUUUGAACAGUUGGCUGAUGCUUUCAUGCAAAGUACAACACAUAUUUGGCGCCUAGUCGCAAAGAGUUGCAGUCUUUGACCCAGAAGGACAAAGAAUCAUUCAAAGAGUAUGUCUAGCGCUUCAUUUAGAAGGACGCCCAGAUUCGUCUACCCUUGAAUGAAAGGGAAUUAUCAUAAAUGUUCUAUGAGACCUUGAGCCAUUGCUAUUUAGAGAAAAUGAUUGUUUGUGCAUCACAGAAGUUCACCGACCUGGUAGAGACAGGGAUACGUAUUGAGGAAUAGGCUCGUAAGGGAGUUGGUGCUUCGGGAAGUUCUUCAGGUAGUUCUGCAGGAAGUUCGUCUAAUGGUAAUAAGAAGUUUAGGAAUGGUUACUCAAAGAGGAAUACUCAAGAAGUCGGCAUUGUGGCCCAUGGCGGAUCUCAGCCUAUGUACCCUAAUCAUCCUUAUGUUGCCAACAGUUUGAUCCCUACAAUCAACAGAAUCAAAGACAACAGUUUGAUCCCAUACAAAUGACUUAUGGAGCAUUACUUCCUUCUUUGCUCGCACAAAACCUGGUUCAAACAAUACCGCCUCCUCGCAUUCCAGACCCUCUCCCACGCUGGUACAGUCCUGACCUUCAUUGUGUUUAUCAUCUAGGGGCACCAGGUCAUGAUGUGGAACGUUGUUUUGCCCUCAAGAAGGAAGUCCAAAAACUGAUCAAUAGCAAAGAGUUAACUUUCACCGACCCUGAUCAUGUAGUCCAGAACAAUCCUCUGCCUCCCCAUGGGCCUGUUGUUAACAUGAUUCAAGACUGUCAGGAUGAGGCUUGCAUUCUCUACGCAUGUCAUAUCAAGACCCCUUUGGUACCAAUACAUGUGAAAAUGUGUGAAGCGGCUCUCUUCAGCCACGAUCACGAGGCUUGUGAUAUAUGUUCGGUGGAUCCCCGUGGUUGCAUGCAAGUCCAGAAUGACGUGCAGGGUCUCCUAGAUAGAAAGGAACUUGUGAUUACAAGAGAAGUCAAGAUCAAAACUGUCUGUGUUAUUACUCCGAUAUUUAGAGCCAUGAAGCCGCUUGUGGUUAACCCUAAUAGUGCAAGACCUACUGGGACUCCUUUGGUAAUCUGUGUGCCUAGGCCCGCGCCUCCUACUUCUCAGAAAGCCGUACCCUACAAGUAUGAAGGCACAAUUCUAGAACCCAGAAGUGAAACCACUUCAUCCUCUGAUGUGGACAAUAUUGCCGAGAGUAGUCGGAUUUUGAGAAGUGGCCGCAUCCUUCCUACUGUGGGUCAGAAAAGCACUAGUAUUCCAGUCGAAGAAACAGUAAAAGAACGGAGCACAUGUAAAGGUAAAGCUAGGGAGCAGCCCAAAGAAGUUGACUAUGAGGAUGCUGAUGAAAUCUUAAAGUUGAUCAAGAGGAGCGAAUAUAGGAUGGUGGACCAGUUGUUACAAACCCCUGCAAAGAUUUUCAUAAUGUCCCUGUUAUCAAGCUCUGGUGCUCAUGGGGAUGCCCCGAAGAAAGUACUAGACCAGGCUUUUGUGGAUUAUGAUGUGACUUUGGGUCAGUUCGAAAGUAUUGUGGGGAAUGUGACCGCGUGUAACAGUCUGAGCUUCAGUGAUGAAGACCUCCCGGCGGAGGGGAAGAAGCACAAUCAGGCAUUACCCAUCUCUGUACUUUGCAAAACAGACUCCUUAUCCAAUGUUCUGAUAGACACCGGCUCUGCUCUUAAUGUGAUGCCCAAAUCAACCCUCGACCAAUUGACAUAUUCCGAGGCUCUCUUGAGGCCCAGUAAAGUGACGGUGAGGGCAUUUGAUAGGACCAGAAGAUCAGUAUAUGGUGAGAUAGAUUUGUCAAUCUCAGUCGGCCCACAUGAGUUUCAGGUUACUUUUCAAGUCAUGGAGAUCCAGGCUUCUUUCAGCUGUUUACUUGGCAGACCAUGGAUUCAUGACGCUGGGGCAGUGACAUCCACUCUCCACCAGAAGCUUAAGUUUGAAAGUCAUGGGAAGCUAAUUAUUGUGAGUUGUGAGUCAGCCUUUUUGAUCAGCAAUAUAUCUGCGUUCUCCGUUAUUGGUGGUAAUAGUUCAGACGGGUUGUCAUUCCAAGGGUUCUCUGCUGAAGAAAGUGUAGGCAAGAUUGAGACUUGUAUGGCUUCGUUGAAAGACGCCCAGAGGGUAAUUCAGGAAGGCAAAACCGAAGGUUAGGGGUCAGCUAGUUGAGUUACCAGAGAACAAGCGCAAAGAGGGAAUUGGUUUUCCUAACAGCAAGCCUAGGAUGUUCGACCCUACCAAAGGCUCUUUCCACAAUGCCGGAUUCAUCCAUGAUUCGCAAGAGACCAAUACAAUUACAGACAAUGCACCUGAAGGAGUGGCACCUGUCUUUGUGACACCUAGAGGAGCCUGCUGCAACUGGAUUGCUGUAGACAUUCCUUCUGUGAUACCCCGUUCUAAGUAAUAUGUUUGUCUUGUCUUUUGUCUUUUUUGCUUUUAAGAAAACUCCUUUCGUCCUGCCCAAGACGAAAGUGAAAUCAUGUAGGGCUUUGUCUUUGCUUCCAGUACUUUUAUUAUGAAUGAAAAUCGUCGUUUCUGUCACGGCCUUUAUUACCUUAUUUUUAUUUUUUUGCGCUUUUUCUAGAAAAAAAUGGUAAUAUAAAAAUCCAAAAAAUCGUUCUCUUUUUCUUUUAAAUUUCAAAAUCAAAGGUCUGCAUUUACUCAUUAAAAUCAAUCAUGAAUCAUGUGCAGACUGAACAAAAAUGAGCCCGUUGAACACAGUAACCCCAUGCUGGAUGAGGAGAUUCCUGAUGAGAUUAAAUGGAUGUUGGAACAAGAAAGAAAGACAAUUCAACCUCAUAUAGAAAUCAUCAAUCUGGGUACUGAACAUAAAUCAUAUGCAGACUGAACAUAAAUGAGCCCGUUGAACACGGUAACCCUAUGCUUCCUCCUAACUUUGACUUCUCUGUUUACAAGACUAUGGUAGAGGAUGAUGAAAAGAUUCCUGAUGAGAUCAAGUGGAUGUUAGAGCAAGAAAGGAAAGCCAUUUAGCAGGGGGUAAAUCAAAACAAAAAUAUUUUACAGGGGGUGAAUCAAAAUAAAUUUUUUACAGGGGGAAACCGGAAAUGACCCAUAUUACAGGGGGUAAAGACCUAUUUAACCUUAUAUUUGCAUGGUCAUAAAAGAAUAUGCUAGGAUUAGACCCUGAUGUUAAAAACAUAAGGUUUAUUCAAUCGUUUCCCCUUUUCCUUGGAAAAAAUAAAAGCUCGGUGGUGAACUUAAAUUUGUGAUUCAACGCUAACCAAUAGCUUGAUAUCCAAAAAUCACCACGAAAACGGCCAUAUUAGUCUGGAAGAUCUAGAGCCCAUUGAAGAAUGUCUUUACGACCAAGGUCUCUUUUCCUCUCUCGAGUUUCGGUAAAAACUGCAUUAACGCCUUAUGUGACAUUAACAAGCAAAAAAUCCGCUACAUUUGAUAUGAAUCCAAAAAAUAAGCUUUAUUGCGUAAAGAUUUCCUCUCUCACGUGUCUAAACUUUCAUCAUAAUUAACAAAAUAAUUUGAUAUGAAUCCAAAAAAAGUAGCUACAUUUGACUUACACAUUUAUCCGCAAUUUUCUGAACUUCCCCAUUAUCAAUCACUCCAUCCUUACCAACACGGGAAACGGUCCACACAGACGCACGUUAUAUCGUUUCUUCUUCCGCCUCUUCUUUCCUUUUUUGGAGCAAAUAUGCAUAACAGAAAAGAGAAGUCAGUACAGAGAAAGCAGCAUAGAGAAAUUGGUACAAAACAGAAAAUUCAGAAUUGGAGCCUUACAAUUUUACACAUACUUUCCAUAUUUUCUUCAAGACGAGCUAACCCCAUAUGGAUGUCUGGGAUUUAAAGCUCUUUCUCAAUUUUCCUUACUCCUUUUCUGCAUGAAUUAAAAUUUUAUUAGGUAGAUAAAAAAUACGAAGAUAAAAAUGAAUAGAGAAAAUGAAUGUCAAUGAAACAAAGGCAUUACCGAAAAUUCAGGAGUCAAACUCUGAGCUACAAAGGCAUCCCAAUGCUCUUGUUCUAUGUGGGGGAUACUUAUCCUUAGGAGAUUUGUCAACAACAUCAAGAUUAGUAUCUCUCAUAUAAAGUCUUGUAAAUGUGGUUUUGAAUGUUGUAAACAACCUUCCAGCUUCCAUUUUUACAUGAUUCUCAUGCUCAUCGCCAAAUAUGUAAUCUUUCUGCAAGACGACAGAGAUCAUUACGAAAUAUAAAUAGAUAAACGUAAUGAUAUGUUUUCAACUAGCUUGAGUAUGUGUUUUACCCGUAUCUCAUCCAAAACAUUUUCUUUGUAAGGUUUCAUUUUAGGAGCUCUCCAAUUUUCUAUACUAAUUGGAACCAUCCGACAAACGAUGACUCCUACAUAACUGACAAAACCUUCGCUUUCUUUCCCAACUGGUUGACCUCUAGCAUUCCAACGAACCUGAAGAAAGAUUGCAUGGUAGACAAAAUGAAUUCAGAAAUGCAUUAAAAGAUAAUGAUCAUCAAUUCAGCAAUACAAAAUGAAUUCAGCAAUCCAUAGGAGUAACCAUUCAGCUCAAGCUUAUCAAGACCAUUUUGGAUGAGUGUCAAACCAUGGGAGUAACCAGAUUUCAAUAAUGAUUAUCAAUUCAUACUAAAAUGACAGCAAAUCUUAUCAAGACCAUUUUGGAUGAGUGUCAAACCGUAGGAGUAACCAUUCCGCUCAAGCUUUUGCAAAGAAAUUCCCCUAACUAAAAGAUAACAUAAUUUUGUAUUUUUUUAAAUCCAUUUAUCUUAAAAUUAGUUAGGCAAUAAUUAAGUAUUUCAGUUCAUAAUUAAGUUUUCGGUCACUAGCAAAAAAACUUAUGAUGAACGGAACUUUAACUAGCAGUUUAUUUGUCCAGUUAACAUCAAUUCAUUGUCCACAAACAAGGAGUCUACAUUAAAUUUAUAUUGUCUAAUAUACCUAAAUUAUUAAAAUCUCAACCAUUAAUUUUGCGACUCUUUUUAAAGGAUAAAAUUACUCAUCGAAAUGGCUGGUUGUUUGCAUCGAACAAUAUAUAAUUAUCUCCAUCUCAAACAUAACAUAUUAAUGUCACUUUCUUCUAUUUUAUAUCUCAACAUAUCUAGAUUUAAUGGUGUUUAAUGUAUCUGUGGCAUUGCAAGUAAUGACAAUGAAUUUGUGAAAUUGCAAGUGAUGAUGAUGAGUUUGAGACAUUGCAAGUGGUGUUUGAGGCAUCAGAUUCAGAUCAGACAUUAAAAGUGAUGGAUAUCUUAUAUAGCCAAACAGUUUUUAUUUAAUUUGAAAGAAGUGGCUCUUUGCAUAAAGGAAGGCGAUUGAAGCUUAAGGCAUCAGAGUUAAGCCAGAUUACUAAUAUAAUGAGGAUGAAGAGGGCAACCCAGUGCACUAAAGCUCCCGCAUACGCAUAUGCAGCCUUACCUUGUUUUUACACAAGAGGUUGUUUCGAGGAAUUGAACCCGUGACCUUUCAGUCACAUGACAACAACUUUACCGGUUGCGCCAAGGUUACCCAUAAUGAGGAUGAAGAAAAUUGGGAAAAACAAUUGGAGAGAACUGAUACAUUGAUCAGUUGUGACUUGUAUUGAAUUAUAAUUGGACAGUAAAGAGAUCUUGUAAUGCAAAGUUAAAAAGAGCUCUAGUAAGUUAAAAUUUCAUUGAUCCAAAUUACCAAGUCUGAUUACUAAAUUGUAAGGAAAAGAGCUAAUUGUGCGCUUUCAAAUUAAAUAUGCUUGUUUGUUUGCAAAUUAGAGGCUCCAAACACACAUCCACCUUGCUCCUACCGUGAUUUUUAAUAAGCUACAAAACCAAGCUUCUGCAUCACCGCAGUUUUGGCAAACUUGUCGCAUGACAAAAUAGACACUAUUUCAAAAUUCAACCCAAAAUUAGAGGAUUUUUGUGUUCACUAUCCUAAAAAUAGACCAGUUAUGAAAAUUAAACCAAUAAAACUAAGAGCCUCUCACACUUAAUUAAUCAAAAAAGUAGAACAUGUGCCAGUAUCACGGUGAGGAUAUAAACAUCCAAAACUAGUAUUCCAUAUCCAAAGGAAAAUUAUAUUAGAAUUUAGAAGCUUAACCUUAUAACAAAUGGCAUAAGAAAUUGUAAAGUUGGAUAAAAGCUUAACCUUAUUAAUAUGCAUCUUAAUUCUAGAUUUAGUGGGGUCCCCAAUAUGCAUAUCAAUAUUGACCAGAAUAUAUUAGUACUUAUAACCACAAUCAAAAAUUUAACUACUUAUAACCACAAAACACAAAAACAACUAUUUAACUUAACCAAUGAACACAUAACCAACUAUUGAAUACACAGAGACAAAGAGAAACAGAGACAAGUUGGUAAAACAUAUGGAGCCUUAAAACUCUAUGAAAUAGGAAGGAACGAUUCCUUACCGUUCAUGAAAAACAAACAGAGACAACGGGGACGGCCACAAUGGAUGCUCCUUGUCUUUAGUUCCAAUCGAUCAAUCAACUGAUGCUCUAUAAGCAGAAGCUAUAAGUAGAAUCUGUAAGUAAAGACGAUGAAUAAUUUAGAAGUUAUACGAAAACCCCAUAAGCAUAGGCAACAAGGAAGAUCCAUAAGUAUAAGUUAUAAGCAAAAAAAAUAAAAGUUACUCCCUCCGUCCCCCGUCCCUUAAAAAGUUAACUUUUUCUUAUAAUAAGGACCGGAGGGAGUAGUAUUUAUCAGGGGCAUGUUUAGAAAAAAAUAAUGAAUAGGUGCUAGGGAUGGAGGGAGUAUAAACUAUAAGCAAAAAAAAAUCUAUAAGCUGAAUCUAUAAGCAGCAUCGAUAAACAAUUAGAAGCAAUAAGCAUAAGUUACAACCAAAAAACAGAAAAGCUAUAUAAACUAUAAGCAGAAGCUACAAGCAAAACACAAGAGCCAUAAACAGACAAAUUUAUAAGGGAAAACAAACAUGACCUACCGAUGGUGAGAGAAAUCGUCGGAGAAUGGAUCACACCAGAGUUAGAAUCGGCGGCAGAGAUGGUGAGAGAGCAAAAAGAAAUCGAUGAGUGAGUGAGUGAGUGAGUGAUGGAGAAGAAUGGUUUUGGGUCUAUCACUAAAUCUAUGAGCUAUUCUAACGGCAUGAUUUUCCGUGAGUCUGCCAGCGUGUACUUGUAGUUUGGAAAUGGAGAGUAUUUUGCUAAAAUUUGGAGCUGGCCAGCUUGGAAUGACCAACGUACUACCAACAACGGGUCAAGAUCCUCCCAUUUAUAACUUUUUCCAUUUAUUGUAAUUUGGAGAGAGAUAGACACAUAGAAAAUAAUGAUGGUGGGAUCCACUUAGUGAUAGGACCAUCACUUAUUUUUUUUUGUCUAUCUCUCUCCAAAUUGCAACAAAUGGAAAAAGUUAUAAAUUGAGAGCAUCUUUACCCCCAACAACGGGCAUCUCCAACGUUUUGAGUUUAAUACUAAUUCUACUUACUAGACUACCGUUACUCUUAAAUUAGUCCACCUAACUUUACACCGAAGAGAAUCGAAUUUGAUAUCUCAAAUAGGAGCACACUCAGAGGUCUCAAGUCAAUACUAAGUGGGUUAGUGUCCCAGCGUUUUUAAGAAUUAAAUUAUUAAAAGUAAAUAUUUUAAUUUUCAAUGCAAUAAAUACACAAACUUUUAUAUAAUAUUAACACUUUAGGUGCUUAAUAUUUCCCUUGAACAUUUUAGACUUCUAUGCUGACCUAUUCCUAAUUAACUACUCCUCCCUUCAUCUAAAAAAAAAAUGGUUUUGAGAGUCCUUGACAAGUAUCGGUACAUUCAUCAUUAUCAUAAAUGUAAAGUGGAGGAAGUUGAUUUAGGAAUGAUAAAACUAGUGCUCCCUUUGUUUUCACAAUGAUUGUCGUUUAAGGUUUUGUCACACAGAUUAAAAAAUAAAAUAAAAUAAUCAUUAGACAUUGCUCUUUUACUAAACUACGCUUACUUUAUAAGAAAAGGACAAAUUUUGCAUUGAAAAUUGUGUGAGAUAAAAGUUUGAGUAUUUAUUGAAGGUAAAGUUGAAAGAAAAAAAAUUAAAGUUGUAUUGGAAAUGUAAUGUGACAUUCAGUUUGAAACAUUUUUUUUUUUUGCUAAAGUGACACUCUUUGUGAAACGGAUGGAGUAUUAAUUAUAUAAUGUAUAAUUGAAAAAAUAAAUUAAUAUUAUAUUAAAAAGUAAAAUAGGUUAAUUAUUUUGAUAUAAUAUUUUAUUACAAAUGGCUCAGUUAUUUUGAAACGAAAGAAGUAGUAGUUAUUAUCAUUCUAAAGGUUAGAGGGACUUAAUAACUAAUUUACUUACUUCUAAAAAUCUAAUACAUAAUAUGGUUAAAUAUAUUUUUGGUCGUUAUAAAUAUAUUAACUUUUUGUUUUCGUCACCCUAAAAUUUUCCUUCAUUUUUUUAAUCUCUAUAAAAUUUUCUAUCACUAUUUGGUCCCUGUUUUUAAGUCAACUCAUGUGUAGACUUUGUGUUUUUUAUUGAAAUUAUGUAGAAAUGUGUAGAAUAUUAUAAAAAUCUCUCCCCAAAAAUAUAGAAUUUUUUUAACAAAUCAUGAAUUAAAUAUGGAUAUUUAACCGCCAAAAAUAUAAAAUUCAUAUUUUUUUUUACCUUAAAGACAAAUUCAUUAAUGAAAGUCUCGCAAUGAAUCAAAAGCCAAGACUGCAGAAAUACAAGGCGGAGUUUCUUCGAUCCAUAUGCAAUCUAAAUUCUUAAGAGCAUAAUUAGCUAAGUAAUGAACAGCUUGGUUGGCUUCACGCCUAACAUGCAAAAAAAUUAUACUACGAAAACUACCCUUCAAACUAAUACAAUCUCGAAUAAUAGAGUCAACAUAGUUAGGAGAUUGGUGGUGAGUAUUCAACGCUAAAACCACAUUAGAAACAUCUAAUUCAACAUACUUCAUGUUUUGUUAAAAAAUUCUAAUUUUUUUUGGAGACGUUCUUAUAAUAUUAUAAAUUUUCAUGCAAAAUUUUAUUAAAAAAUAUGAAUUCUACAUAUGAGUUACAUAAAAAGAAUGACCAAAAGUGAAGAUAGAAAACUUUUGAGAGACUAAAAGUCAAAGAAAGUUUUUAGAAGGACUAAACGAAAAAUUAAUAUAUUUAUAGGGAUAAAAAAUAUGUUGGCUUAAUACAUCACCCGGUCUCUUAACUUAUUUUAAUUUCUCAGUUUGAUCUCUUAACUAUAAAGUGUUUCAAUUUGGUUCCAUAAAUCUUCUGGCGUUUACUAUUUUGGUCUUCACCGUUAGUUUUUAACCUUAAAUGUCUAAGGUGAACCAACUUCUUAGGUGGUCUAUCAUAAACUUUAUUAAAUUUUUUAAUUUUAACCGUUGGAUCUUUUUUUUUAAAAUGAAGAUUGUUGGAUCAUGGAGGGGUCUAUUCUAGCUUAUAAUGAACUACAAUCACCUAAUUUUUUUUCUUCCUUAUUUCCCUACCAAUAUUCUUCAUUUGCAUCUUUAUUCAUCAUCAUCUUCAUCUUAAACAAAAACCCAGAAAUAUCCAUUUCCAAACCCAGCUCAAUCAUAAGCCAUGAUCCAAUGCAUAACACACAAUUCAACAACAGAAGCUCAUCAUAAAUCACACUACACAAGUUCAUAAUCAAUCCAAAUCUAUAAACAACAACUCUUUCAAUCCCCGUUCUUUCAUUUCUUACAAAAUCCCAACCCAAAUUUCACCUUCCACAUUCUACCCUCGCCGGAACACCCCCAUUAACCACCAUCUCCAUUAUUGAAGGAAGCUUGAUUUUUAUUUUUUUUUGGAGAAAAUGGGUUUUGGUCUAAUUUUGAGAAGUCUGGCUCCUUCAAAAGUUGUGGCUUUCUCUUAGACGAUACUUUCAACCGUAUACCAACGAUACUUUGAGACGAUACUUUAAGUAGAUUGAAUAUAUCUCCCUGUAUCUUCUAUGAGUGGAGUUGGAACCCGAACGAGUGCUUAAAAAGAUGAUUUGGGUGCGGUGUUUGGCUCACCCAGUCCAUGGAAUUUAGCUUUUGCUAGGGAGACUAACUUAUCCUUUGUUUUGGCCUUCUGUUUUUUUUAUGUCGGGUGUUCUGAACGUAACUGUGUUUCUGUGGAGUUAUAUCCCUUUAUUAGCAGGUUUUUGUCUGCUUGUUUCUUUUGGUUCUUGCUUUAUCGGUGUAGCGGUUUUUUUCCGACACUUGUUAUAAUGUGUCUUUUGGUGCGGUGCCUCUUUUAUACGACAUCUUGUAAUUUUUUAGUGGGUUUGCGGUUCGUCUUGUGCAAGAAACUCUUUUUUUUUGUGGUGGCGGGGAUUCGAACCACGGACCUUACAUAUAUUAUGCAUUCUUCUUAUCAAAUGAGCUAAGCUUACGGGGACUUGUGCAAGAAACUCUUAUAAUACAGGCAAAAUUACACUAGAUGACAUUUAUCUUAUUUAUUUGUAACACAUUAGUUCUUUAUUUUUUGUCCCGUUUAAAUCUUUUAUCUGUAUAAAUAUGUAAAAGUUUAUAAUUUUAUUUUUUUAUUAAAAAAAAUACACCUUCAAUUAACUCUUUUUUUGAAAGGGCAAUUAAUUUAUUAAAAACCUUUCUUUUAUAAAUCCUUUCUUUCAUUUUUUUUCAUUAAAAAAAUGCUGGAAUAAUAAUUUUAUUAAUAGCCUUAUUUUAAAAAGAAAUUGUAUUAAAAAUAAAGAAAUGCAUAAACCAUAUGAACAUCUUUAUCCUCUUGUUCUUCAUCCUUAUAGUCUUCCUUAAACCAAAUCAAUGCCUAGUCAAAUACACCUUCAAUUAACUUACGUAUCUUCACUUUUAUCUUCUAAACGCAUAAUUCUAAAUCCACAGAUGUCAAAAAAACCUUAAAUUUACAGAGAAAAAACCCCCAAAUUCAAUUGAAAGAGUUAAGGAAUCAAGUUUGUUAUUUAAUCUUCACUUUCUCCCUAAACUUAAAUGCAACUAGAACAAAUGUUGUUUUAACAUUUCUGUUUCUCUAUAGAUAAACACUUAUAACAGUCCUAUUCUAUGGUCACUAAUGUAAAGUAAGACAUGAAUCCACCAAGAUUUUAGACCAAAAAAAGGAGUAAAUAGUAAUAUUUGUAUUUAAGUGUGGGCUUAAAUAUGGUUUUGGUCCCUGGUAAAAAAAAAAUUUGAACUCAAUCCCUGCAAAAUUUUUUGUUUUUUAAAAAGAUCCUUGGCCCCACUUUCUUGUCUAUGUGUCUGAUUUUUGCAUAUGUGUCACCUGCUAACUGUUCCAUUUUGCACAUGUGGCAGCCAUGUCAUUUAAAAACAAUUUUAAAAAAACAGAAAAUAUAUUUACUUAAUAAAAAUUAAAAAACAAAUAAUUUUAAUUAAUUGAAAAAAAAAUAUAAUUGUGUAAUUAGGGGGGAAAAUUCUAGGGUUUCUCAUUUCCCCCAUUUCUUCUUAAUCGUUCCUUUUCUUCUCAUUCUUCAUCUCAAUCGUUCCAUCUUCAUCUGGUCCUUUUCAUCGCCAUUUUCUGAUCAAAGUCAUCCAAACUGAAAUCUAACACAAUCCAUUCGUUUCAGGUAUGUUGGUUUCGUGUUCGUGUUCGUCGUUCUUCGUUGAAUCCGUUCGUGUUCUCCUUUUUCGUUCUGGUUUUGAUUUCGUUAAUGUAUGGUUUGUGUUGGAGAAGGUACAACCGACGGCUAGGAUCUUGUUAGGGAUUCUUUAUACUGUAAGUUUUCACAAAAACAACAUAUUUAAUGUCGAAAAUAGUAGUAGUUGUGUGUAUUUAUGCACUGUUUUGUCGUUUUCCUUGUGGGGACCAAAGUGGAAAUUUUUUUUGAUUUUUUUUUUGUUCCAUUUUGCAUGUGCAGCAUGUCUGUAACCGUUGGGUUUCAUCAUGGUGGGUCUUUUGUAAGGGACUGGCUUAUCUAUUACAAAGAUGGUGUAGAGUCAGUUAUAGAUGUUGAUGCAGAUAAGUUUUGCUAUUUUGAAGCUAAAGGAAUAGUGGAUGAGUUAGUGAAACAGUUUAAGUAUGGGGAAGAUUAUAGGUUGUGGUGGCAGGUUGAUGAAGAAGUUGGGUUUAAAUUGUUUAGGUUGGAUGAAGUUGCUACUGAGAUCAUGAAAUAUGCAGCAAGAAAAAGAUGCAUGUAAGGUUACCAUAUAUGUUGAGCAUGAUGUGGUUGAUAAGGAUGCUGAUGUAAGGUUACCUAGGUGUGUUGAUGGUGAUAUGGUUGAUAGGGAUGCUGAUGUAAGGUCUGAUGCAGAGGUUAUGUGUAUGGAUAAGGGGAAGGAAAAGUUUGUUGAGAAUGAAGAGGAAGAUAUAACAUAUGAUACUUGAGUUUCAAGUAGUGAGGAGGAUGAGGUCAGAUGUGUUACACUUGAUGAUAGUGAAGAUGAAAGAGGUUUGGGUUUGGAUGAUGGUUUUGGAUUGGAAUAUUCCCUACCUAAGAAUGGAACAAAUAGAGUCAUGAUUGAAGGUAAAGAAUAUAGGGUGAAAAAGAGAGCAUGCAAAAAUCCAACCAAGAAAAAGACAAAAGUUGCAAGUAAAGGUCAUGUUCUAUUAGAGGAUGUUCAGAUUGAUGGUGAUUAUGAAAGUGAUGAGUUGGGUAGCAGUGACCCUGAUGAUUCUGAUAGGGAGAAAGGUCCUAAAUAUGAAAAGUUUAGAAAGACACAACUUUGUAAGACAUUUCAGUUUAAGGUUGGAGUGGAGUUCAGUUCUACUAAGGAGUUCAAAGAAGCAAUAAUUGAAUGGACAGUAUUAAAUGGAUAUGAAAUAAAGUUUGUGAAAAAUGACUUGAUAAGAUGUAGAGUGGUUUGUAAAAAGAGGGAAAAGGAUGACUGUAUGUUUUUGGCUUUAUGUAGUCAAGUGAAUGGCCAACACACUUAUAGGAUUAAGACAUGGGAUGGGGACCACACAUGUCUUAAAGUAGGUGAAAAUAGAUCUGCCACAUCCAAGUGGGUGUCAAAAGCUGUUGUGCCAGCUUUGAUUUCUAAUGAAAACUUGAGGGUCACCACUAUAAUGGAUGACAUGAGGAGGGAUUAUGGUGUGGGAAUAACAUUUGGGAGGGCAUGGAAAGCUAAGAUGAUAGCUAGGGAAAUCAUUGAUGGUGAUGCUACCAAACAAUACUCUAACUUAUGGAGAUAUGCAGCUGAGAUUCAUAGGGCUUCAGAGAAAAACACAGUGAAAAUAAAUGUUGAAAGAGUGGGACCAACACUUCAGCCUAGAUUUGGAUCUUUCUAUUUUUGUUUUGAAGGAUGUAGGAAAGGGUUCUUGAAUGGUUGUAGACCUUUCAUAGGUGUGGAUGGAUGUCACUUGAAGACACAAUAUGGUGGUCAAUUGUUGAUAGCAGUAGGCAGAGAUGCUAAUGACCAAUAUUAUCCUCUUGCUUUUGGCAUUGUUGAAGUUGAGAACAAAGAAUCAUGGAGGUAGUUUUUGACCUUGUUACUUGAUGAUAUUGGUACUGAGAAGAGAUGGGUCUUUAUUUCAGAUCAACAAAAGGUAAAAUUGAUUUGUUAUAACUUUCUAUUAUAUGCUUUUUUAUAACUUUCUAUUAUAUGCUUACUGUUUGUCAUCAUUAAUUGAAUUGAUUUAGUUACUCUUUGUCUUCAUGGUUGUGUUUUUUUGAAGGGACUUAUGUCUAUAUUUGAUGAGUUACUUGAAGUUUGUGAGCAUGUACUUUGUCUGAGGCACCUAUAUGCAAACUUUAAGAAAAAGUUUGGAGGAGGUACUGCUAUUAGAGACUUAAUGAUGGGGGCAGCCAAAGCAACAUAUUACCAGGCCUGGGAGCAAAAGAUGCAAGAACUAAAGGCACUUGAUUUGGGAGCAUGGGAGUGGUUGAUGCAGCAUCCUACUAAGCUUUGGUGUAAGCAUGCUUUUAAUUAUUACUCUAAGUGUGAUGUUUUGAUGAACAAUUUGUCAGAAGCUUUUAAUUCCACAAUAUUGUGUGCAAGAGAUAAGCCACCCAUUACCAUGUGUGAGUGGAUUAGAACAUAUCUGUUGAAUAGAAUUUCAACAAUUAGGUAUAAACUUAGUUCAUGGCAACAUAGGAUAAUGCCAAUGUCUAGAAAAAGACUAAAUGUUGAAAUUGAAUUAAGUGAAAACUGGAGGGUCAUUUGGAGAAUAGAUGAUGAAUAUGAAGUUAUAAAUUAUAUGGGGGAUAUCAGUACAUAGUUGAUAUUGGGAAAAUGACUUGUACUUGUAACUUCAGGCAGCUAGUAGGUAUUCCCUGUAGGCAUGCUAUUGCUGCAAUGGGUAAAAGGUCUCAGAGACCUGAGGAUUAUGUUGAUGACUGUUAUUCUAGAGCAACCUAUGAAAGAUGCUAUAGUUAUGGUGUAAGUGCACUUAAUGGUGAAGAUAUGUGGCCAAGUGUGGAUGUGGAAGAGAUGUUGCCACCUUCUUAUAAGAGAGGACCUGGAAGGCCAAAAAAAUUAAGAAGAAGAGAACCUGAUGAAGAUGGAAAUGGUAGAAAAUACAAGAGGCAAUGUAUUAGAUACAGAUGCACAAAGUGUGGUCAGUCAGGACAUAAUAACAGAUCAUGCAAAAAUGAAGUUGUUAAUCCAGAUGCACAGAAAAGGAAGGUAAAAUUGUGAUUACAAUUAUAUUCGUGAAUAAUCUUAAUAUAUUUGUAAACUUCUAAUCAAUUAUAGUUUGUGAACUUUAACAGAGGAAGCCACCAAGGAAUGCAGCAACUGUGGAAAACCAAGAUGCAACUGUGGAGAACCAAGAUGCAGAAAUUGGAAAUUCAGAUCCUAUCAUUGCUGAACCUAUCAUUGUUGAACCAGACAACACUGCAAAUGGAAUUCCAGAUGUUAUCAUUGCUGAACCUGCUGGAAAGCCUACUAAGCCAACUGUUAAACCUGCUAAGCCAACUGUUAAACCUGCAAAGCUUGCAAAGCCAACUGGAAAACCUACUAAGCCAUCUGCUAAGCUUGCAAAGCCAACUGUUAAACCUGCAAAGCUUGCAACACCUGUUAAUGACAAGAACCCUGUUAACCCUGUUCAGCCUCCAUCAAAGGUUAAUCUAACAUGAUGUUUUAUUUUUUAAAUUAACUUCUUUGAUGAAUUAAUCUAACAUUAUCUUUAUUUUUAAUUCAUAGAAAAAAUCAGAGAUAAUCUAUGAUGUUACUCAACUCAAAAAGAAGGCAGCCACCAAAUUGACAUGGAAAGGAAGGACUUGUUGUGAAGGAUCUACAUCAAAAUCAACUUCCAAAGUGCUAGUUUACAAUUUCAAUCAUCUUAGAAGGAGUGGGAGGACAUGUUACUUUGGACCACAACCAAAGGAAGGUGCACCAGGAACUGUUGAAUCAAAUCCUAUUGAAGUUGGAGUAGAAGAUAAUGGGGAACUAACUCAGGAGAACUAGCUGACUAGUAUAUUCCAUAUUAUGAUGUAAUGGCUGUAGACAAUGCCUUAUUUUGAUGCAAUGGCUUUAGACAAUGCCUUAUUUUGAUGGAAUGGCUUCAGACAAUGGCAUAAAUGCCUCUAUUUUGUAUGUAAUGGCUUAUGAUAGUGCCUUAUUUUGAUGCAUAUAUCUAUUUGCUAUUUUCUCUAUAACAGUUGCUUUUGUUUAAGAUGCUUAAGGUGGUUUUACUUUUUGCUGUAUCUGUUAAGGCUUAUGCAGAGUCAUAGAUGAAUAGCAAGUGCAUUCAUGGCUUAAGCAAUGACAAAAUUACACAAUGAACACAAUGAAACUUUUUCAUUCAAUUAACCAUAGAGGUACAUUAAAGUUCUUACACAUGAGUACUUAAACAUAAAGAUACUAAAACAUCAAAUUACAAACAAACUAAGAUAACUUCUUAACAGCCUAAACAAAGCCAACCAACUUAACCCAAACAGCCACCUAAAAUUUUUCAAACCAUACAAAGAAAACUCAGUUAAUGAUCAUGAUCAAUGACAUCCAUUUAACCUUCUUAUUCUCAUCCCCAUAUUUUGUCUUCCAUUUCGCAAUUUCAUUCGACUCGAAUGCCUUCAUAACUUCAUCAAUGUUUUCACAUUUGCUGCAAACUUGAUUUUUCCUUCCAUCCAUUGAACUAUCUAUUGCAGGUGUAACUUCGAUCAUUGUUGUAACACCAGGUAUAAUAUCAUCGUCCCAGAUGUACAAGUUGCAGGUACACAUAGUCUGUUGAAUAUAUCCAGUACACAAUCAAUCAAAAAACAGGACAGCGAUACAUUAAUGAAACAAGUAAUUUGUGCAUAAACUCACCUUGCUGUUCCAGUUACGACACCUCCAAAACAUCCAACCUUGAUUCGCAUCAGUGUUGGCAAUGUAAGCCUUCAUUGGUAAAGUGCAGCCACAAGCUGGUAGGAUAACUGGCAACGAAUCAACAUCAUUUUCCGAGAUAUGACGGUGACUACAACGACAACCUUGAGUGUAACUUGCUCUAAAUCUUGAAGUCGAAUACGACUGUGACCCUCUACUUCCUGAAUACCCACCUCUGCUACUUGACAUUUUUGGUCGAUGAAAUCUGAAGCACAGGGUCGAGUAGAAAAGGAUCGGCGAUGCAAGGAAAGGAUGAAGAUGGAUGGAACGAUUGAGAAGAAAAGGGCGAUUGAUCAGAAAAUGGCGACUGAGAAGAAGAUUAAAGAAGGAAAGGAACGAUUGGAAGAAAAGGAACGACUGAGAAGAAGAUUGAGAAGGAAAGGAACGAUUGAGAAGAAAAGGGAGAAAUGAGAAACCCUAUAUUUUGUUUCAAUUAAUUAAAAUUAUUUGUUUUUUAAUUUUUAUUAAGUAAAUAUAUUUUCUGUUUUUUUAAAAAAAAAAAAUUAAAUGACAUGGCUGCCACAUGUGCAAAAUGGAACAGUCAGCAGGUGACACAUAUGCAAAAAUCAGACACAUAGACAAGAAAGUGGGGCCAAGGACCUUUUUAAAAAACAAAAAAAUUUGCAGGGAUUGAUUUCAAAAAAAAUUUUUACUAGGGACCAAAACCCAAAUGCCCUAUAUUUGGAGGGACCAAAACCAUAUUUAAGCCUUAAUUGUAUAAGGUAAAAUGGUCUUUAAUACAACAAAAUUACAAAAAAAUAUCUAAAAUUUUCUUUUGUUGGUCAUUUUAAUCUUGAAAUGUGUUUUUUGUUACUCAACUUAAUACUUAAAAAUGAAAAUUAAUAACCAAAAAUAUAUUUCUAGGUAUUAUUAGAAGUUAGAACAUAUCACACAUUUUUUAUCAAAAAAAAACAUGUCACACAUUUAAAAAUCAAAAUAAUUAUUUUUUUCUCAAUGUAAAAAAUACAAUCGUUAUGCGGUUAACGAUUGUAAGUCCGUGAAGAAGAAAAUACAAUCGUUAUACGGUUAACGAUUGUAAAUUCGUGAAGUUAAGCAAUCUUUUUUAGAAGGAGUGAAGUUAAGCAAUCUAUCGGCAUAUAAUUCAAAUCAAUAUCAAUUAUCCCCAUCCAUUCUAACCAUUUGUCUACUACUAAUUACUAAGCAAACAGUUCCAAAAUUAACAAAAACUGAAAAGUGUUGAAGAGAGAAUAGGAGGAAGAAAAAAAAAUGACAUCAAUUAAAGUGUAGAAUCAUAACCCUGACCAAAAAAAAAAGUGUAGAAUCAUAACUAGUUCACACUCUCUCUUGCUUCUAAACUAUUGUUGCAGUUACGCUGCGAACUUUGAUAUUGCUGCAAAAUACAGGCAAAUUAUUUAGUCAUAGCAAUGGAAAAGUCGUUGCAGAGACCUCUAAAACUUUUAUGAUACGCCCAUAAUUAUGAUUGUGGACCGCAAUUUAGAACAAAGUCCCUCGACUCAAGCUUUCUUCUCCUUAACUGGUGACAUAAAUAGAAACCGAUAAACCAUAGCAGCAGAACUAGCACCAAUUAAAGGACAUAUCCAAAAAACAUAAAAUUGCUCCCAAGUAUUGUGCUUAUUGUUCAUAUAAGCCCAACCAAAUGCAUUAGCAGGGUUCAUAGAAGGUCCAGUGUAGCCAGAACCUAUAAUAACCAAAACCAAAGUAGCCACAGAAAGCAAAUAAACCUUCAACCAAGGAUUUUUAGGACCCUUAAGCAUAACAAGAAGAAUAACAAAGUUAUGAGUAAAAGUCAAAACCCCUUCAGCAAUAGCACCUGUAUGCAAAUCAACCUUCAAAGAUGGACCUUUCACCAUGUCUUUGUAUUCUGUUGGUAUAACUUGAAGGAUGGAUUUGAUGCCAAUAGCUCCACCUAUUGCUUGAGCAGGAAACCUUAUGGCAAAAGAUAGAAGAGAUGAAUCUGGUCUUAGUCCUAAUGUGUAGAAGGAAAUUGUGGAUGAAGGGUUAAAACUAGCACCACCUAAGAUUCUUCCAAUAAGGCUUAUUGUGAGGAUGAUUAUUGUGUUUAGGAUGGUUGUGAUGAAUAAGCCUGGUAGUGAAAGUGGUUGAAGGUUGAGAAAAAGAGAUGUUUUUGUAGAGAGAAUUCUUAAUGUUGAGAUGAAGAAAACAAAUAUUGAUGUUAGAAUUGCAUCUCCUAUGGCUGAUUUAAUCACUCCCAUUUUUUUUUUCUUCUUGUUUUGUGUUUAGGUUGUUUAGGCUUUUUGUGUGUUCCUUGUUUAUUGGUAUUGGAACUUGGAAGAUGAAACACUCUCACUCACAUAUUUUGGAUGUAGUUAGAACACACUAUCUUCUCUUUCUUGAAGAGCAAUGAGCCAACACAUAAAUAAGGAAGGACAUUCCUAUUGGUUGGCAUGUGUACUUUGUGGGGUAUUGUUUAAUAGUACUUCAUGAACAUCUUUUAAAAGAAAAAACAAGUGAAUGUUAUGAUUCCUUCAAAAAAAGUGAAAUGUUAUGAAAUGAUACUCUUUAAAAAAAAUGAUUGAGAUAAUAGGAAUCUUUGUUGGAGUAUAUAAGUGAGAAGUAUGGACAAAUUUAAUGAAUGGCUAAUCUUUUCUUUAUUAAAGUUUAUUCUCUCAAUUAAGUUCUUAUAACCUACAAGUCUAAAACAAUUGUAACAAUGUGUAUAAUGUUUGGUAAACUAACAGGUUAAUGUGAUUAAUCAAAUUUUUCGAAUGAGAUUAAUAGAAGAGGAAUUUAACUAAUGUUAACCAAGUAAUUGAACUCAAGUGAUCAGGGAGUUUCAUUAAAGGUCAACUCGAAUUUAAUAUUUUUAUCUAAAGAAAAGUAGAGAUGAACAAAUUUAGAUGAGUUGAACUCCAAGAUUCAUUAGAGUUUGAGUAAAUCUCAAAACUCAACAAACAUUUACAUAUAUAUUUAUAAAUCACGAUUAAAAAAGUCUUUAACAAACAACAUUGCACAAGAAUCAAUUUUUUACUAACUAAAUCAACUUUCAUUCGCAAUAAAUAUUCUUUUUUUUUGUUAAAUAGCCUAGUGGUUGGAGAAAUUCAUCUUAAAGAGGAAUAAGUGGGGUGUCUAUGGUUUAAACCUCGGCCCCUGCAUAUAUUGCGCAUUAUUCCUUAUCAAAUAAGACCAUCUACAAUGGCCUAUUGAAAAUGAUUUUCAACAUGUUGAAACCAUUGGAGUGCCCUAUUGAAAAUGAGAGAAGAGGAAAGAGGUGAUGAAAGUGUUAAACAUGUUGAAAAUCUGUACCGAGUGCCACGCGUCGCGUUUCAAUUGGCCAGGCUGAGUGUGUGCAUCACACGCGCCGACAGAGUGCGUCUGGGGCAGGGCAACGCGGAGAGAGAAGAUUUUCUGGAUAAUGUAGGGACAUGUGGUGCUUCCUGAUUGGAUUUUUAUCUUCUUAAUAAUUUGGACUCAAUUAUUUCAUUACAUAUAAUUUAUUUUUUUUACCAAAAUUCGUGAUUUUUUUUCUCUCUACAAAUAGAGACUUGGAUCAUUUGAUUUGGACACGGAAAAAAAAAAACCAAAUUUUUCACUCUCUUAAUCUUAUUAUUAGCAUUUCUUUUGAAGUUUUAGUCUUUGUUUAGUGAAAUGAAUCCAAAUAAUAAUCAAUUCAACACCCAAAAUUCUUCUGAUUAUAAAUAGUUAAUUGUAUUAUUUUAAACAACUCAAUAGUAGUGAAAUGAAGACCAUUUCUUUUAAUUGUAUUAUUUUAAUUUAAUUAUAAUCGAUAAUUUUAGGUAAUUAUAAAAACAAAAAUAUAAAAUUAAAUAAGAAUAACAAAUAAAAGGUGGUGGGUUAGGGUGUUGAAUGAAAAAACCAUUGGGGAGGUAAAAAAUUGAAUAGAUGUUGAAUUAUGAGAGAGAAAAUGAUGUGGAAUGUUGGAAUUGAAAAAGUGGAUGUUGAAGGGUAUUGAAAUUUUUUUACCAUUUAAGAUGGUCUAAGUUAAACUCACGGGGACUAUUCUUUAUUUGGGAGAAAUUAUUCUUUUUCUAGAUGCAAAUCAGUAGUGCGAUCCACAUGCAAAUACUAUAAUGGUAUAUGAUAGUAUGAUAUACACACAUGUCACAGAUGGAAACCGGGCAGUGGGCAACCACCAGUGGUUGGCUAAUGCAGCGUAAAAUAUUUGUGGUCAAUUAUGCGAGAGAUAAAUGUGCUGAAUUUUUUUAUUAGAAAAAAAAGUUCUGGAUUUUUAUAUAAAAAGUUAAAACAUAAUAAAAUAAAAUAAAAAGGUGCUGGAACUACAACUUAGUAAAUAAUUUUUUAUAGGAAAAAUAUUUGCUCACAAGUAUUUUGACACUCUAUUUAAACACACUAUACUUAGUCAUCGUGAGCUUAACUCUCGUGAGCUUAAUUCAGUUGAUAAGAAAUAAUGCAUAGUAUAUUUAAGGUAAGUUUAAAUUCCGAUCACCACAAAAAUAAAACACACUAUACUUAGUUUCGAAUCUCCCUCUUUUUUUCUUUUUCUUUUUUUCCAUUACAUUGUAACACUACCAAAAAAAACACGCUAUACUUGAGAAAAAUUAAAAAAUGAAAAGAAGAAAAAUAAAAAUAAAAAAGUAUGUAUUUUUUGUGUGCAAAUUAUGUAGCAAUAUAAAUUUAUGUUUUUAUUACGACAUGUACCACAAUAUUUCUAGAAGACUUCCUCUUUUUAUAAAUACUCCCUCCGUUCUUUUUUAAGUGUCUUUUUAUGGUGAAUUUUUCGUUCCUAUUUAACUGUAUUUUUGGUAUUUUAAGGGUAUGAUUUGUCAAUUAUACCCUUGUUGGAGGAAAAGAUAAUAACAAACAAUUGUUUGUUUCGAGAGAAAAAUAAUAUAUUAAAUUUAUUGGAAAGAUAAAGUGUGUGAAAAAAAUAGGAAUUUAUUGAUGCAUUAAAAUUAGGGUAUAAUAGGAAGAAAAUGUGCAAAAAUACACAUUGCUAUUUUGGUGUUAAUUUUCUAAAAAGACACUUCAAAAGGAACGGAGGAAGUAAUAGACAAAAUUCUUUUUUAUAUUUUUAAUCAUAAAUUUUUUGUCUUAUUUUUUUAUUGAAGCUUUCAUUGAAGAUUGUUUUAUUGAAGCUUUCGUUGAAGAUAAACGGAAGCUUUUUUUUUUUUGUUACAAAAAGAGUUGGUUGGCGUUCCACCGCAAAGAUUUAACAUCAUCGUAUCGAAAGUCAUUGCCGUCGCACUAGAGCAUUAUUCGCCACCGUUGCCGUUCAUCGGUUCUCACCGAACAUAUCAAUUCUCACUUACUACUAUAUACACCUUUUGGCAUAAACUCAUAUUUAUGUAGCGUUUUUAGUGUCUUUUAGAGUUUACGUAGCAAGUUUAUGUGAAUUUUAGUACAAUUUUUGUAAAGGAUUCUAUAAAAAGUCAUGGAAGAGCAAAAAUUGUUGUGCUAUACUUUCUUAUAGGGUAUAUGAUGGACAAAUUGAAAAGUGCACCAAAUCGUAGUAAGUAAUAAAGUAGUAAGUUAUAGUCUCCAUAGGGAUUGUCGUUCAACAAAUUUAUUUGGGUAAAAACAAUAAAGAAAGUUGAAUGGGUUUGCAAGUUCUAAUUGUCUUGUGCAAUGUGAGAUUAGGUUUUUAAUUCAGAUGUUUAACGGUGGUUAGGGUAUCUUUGAAUCACCUCUACCUUCUUUGUUGGAGUUAACUCAUUUUAAUAUUAAUUAUAACCUACCUUAAUAAAAGAGAGUAAGACAUGACCCCGUGAUGUAACGGUGGGAAGUUCGAGUAUUUGUGCCGCGACAAAGGUUAUACUUGCGACGUUCCCCUAAAAAUGAAUCAUAGCUAUAACAAUCAUAUUUAUAAUCGAUUAAACAAGAUUAAUUUAUAAAAUAAGCAAGUUACUGCUAUUCUGGUUCAGGCACCGACAUGAUAGUAAGUCUUAUACCUUAGCCUAUAGAUCAGGUCAACUGCUAGUUGAAAAGCAUUGAGCAUGGAACAUAUAAAAAUUAAAUUAGGCAAUUGAAUCAUAAACUAAAUACAAAACUUUAUGAAUUGAAUCCAAGAAAUAAGUAGAGGUUCAUCAUGGAACCCUAAUCAAGAGAGGUUUAGUUACACAUGGUAACUGACAUAGUUACAAAACAAUAAAAAAAAUAUUCCCUAGAGAGAACAAGAGGAGGAGAAAACCCUCUGCUUAGUUUUCUACACAACUUGAUGCCCCACAGCUUGAGCCAUAGCUUCUAGUGCAGCAGCAAUCGCAGCAUCGUUUCUUCCAGCCAUUCUUAGUUUUCUACACAACAAACAACAACAACAUUCGAAACAACAUAAGAUAGUAUACAACUGUUACUCAACAAGACACGACUCAACUACUUGGCCGGACGGACCGAUCUGCUCUGAUACCAAUUGUAACACCCCGUUUUCCCAACAUAAAAAUUUCAUUUAAAUAAUCAGAGUAAUCAUCACAAACGGAAUGUCACACUUCUUAAAAAUCAUAAACGGAAAUAAAUAACAAUUUAUCCUUCAAAAUUCAAUAACAUAAAAAUUCAUACUUCGCAGCGGAAUUUAUUUCAACAACUAAAAUAGUCUUUGGCACGAAGGCCUCAUCAUAACAUCUCAUAAAAAUCCAAUCUAAAUCACAGUCAUGUAAAAUCAUAAGCAAUACGUAAGGAAUAGAAAAGCAUGCAACAAAGUCCCAUCUCGUUACGUAUCAAAGCACCUAAAGACACACGUGAGAAGGAAACCACUCAUGACAGCAACUACAGCAACUUAUUCUCGAUCACCUGCAAGUUACUCAUACGAAGAGCAACAUUUCCAAGCAGAAGGGGUGAGAUUUCACAAAACAAUAAUAUUAAGCAUAUAAUUCAUCAAUUAUAUUUAACAACAUAAAUAACUUCAACAUAUCAUAAUUAAUAAUGCUUCAUUAAACACUUCAUUAAAAUAAAACAACUUAACAAUUCAUGUACACAACUCUUCGACUUGACAACUUGACAACUCGACUCGACAAUGCGACUUCAACUUGACUAUGAAACUUAACUUCUUAAUCAUGCAUGUGGUACCAAUCUAGGGCAUCAAGCCCUCAACGUAUUUAAGUAUUAAUAUACUUCCAGGGAAUCAAGCCCUCAACUUAAUUGAGCAAAGGCUCCAGGGUAUCAAACCCCCAACGUGUUAAGCAAAGGCUCCAAGGCAUCAAGCCCCCAACAUGAAUGAGUAUGCAUGGACUCAACAACUUAACAUCUUAGAAACAUCGACAUCUUAUACAACUCCAAUAAUUUGGAACAACUUCUUACAUCAUAGACUGACUCAUGCAGCUUAGUUAAUAAACAACAGCAACAUAGACAGUACAUAAAACAUCUCAAGAUAUAACAAUAUCAAAUAAUAAUAAUCAACAACACUUAAUCAUCAUAUAUAAUCCACAUAAUGCAUAUACAAAUAUAUUACAUUACUAACAACAUUAAAUCAUAUUAUAACAGCUUCACAGAACAUCAGUAUUAUUAUAUUCAACCUCCAUUCCUACCCCAAGGAUCAACUCAUAACAUCUCGUGCGACAAAGAUCGCAAAACCCUAAACAAGGUAUUCUGUCUAACAUGAGCUCGCGAGGCGAGGAACAUUGCUCGUUAUGGUGAGUUCAGGAAAAAAGGCAUUCGCUUUGGCGAGUAAGCUAAUCGCCUUGGCGAACAAGAAACUGGGUGCUCUCGGGAAUUUGACAUUUUUCAUCCAAAAAUCCAUUUUUAAACUUUCUCGUGUUCAAUCUCAAUCUAAAAACUUGCCUAAUCAUUAUUGUACAUAUUCAGGCACUCAAAAUCAUCUAAAGUUCGACUAAAGGAAUUAAUUCUCAAAAUCAGGUUGACACACUGAUCAACUCGCUAUGGCGAGCUGCAAGGUGUAACUCGCGAGGCGAAUGGAUUUGCUCGCGAGGCGAGCGAUGAAGUUCAUCACUCGCGAGGGCGAGGAUCAUCCCUCGCGAGGCGAGCGAUGAAUACAGGCUCGGGCAGAAUGCAUAUUUUUACGAAAAUCCACCUAAUCUCAUGGUUCAAAGCUUAAAAUUGAUUCUAAACAUCACCCUAUGGAUUAUCUAAGGUCUAUAAACACUUUCUACAUCAAUUCUACAAUUCUACAUCAUCUAACCAUCAAUUCUCAUUCUUAACCCUAAUUUCCAACUUUCAAAACUAACCUACACAUGUUAAAUCUAAUCAUCAGAAUUAUCAGCUUAAGAGAAUUGAAUGCUAGUCUCACCCUUACCUUAAUCAAAAUCGAUCAGCAGCUUCUCUUUGGUCUUCGCUCCUCUUGUUCUCCCUUUUCUCCCAAAACUGGUUGUACGUAAAAACUAUUAUGACUUAGGUUUUCUCCUAUUUAUCUCUUCCCAUCUAUUUUAUCUUAUUUCCUCUUUUUCCCUCAAAACUCUCUAAAAUCUCAAAACAACCCCUCAACUCAAUAUUUAUUUUAUUUUCAAAUCUUAUUCUAUUAAAUAAUAAAAUAAGACCUCUCAAAUAAAAUAUCACACAUCACAUAAUCACAUAUAAAUCACAUAAAUCAUAUAAAUCAUCUUAAUAAACUCUAAACUCAACAAAAAUAAUUAAAUAAUCAAAAAGGGCGUUACAUAUAAGGCCAUGUGUAACACCCUAAUUUUCGACGAUAAUUAUUAACUAAAAAAAUAUAUAAUUACUAGAGAGGAUGUUACAAAACUUGACAUUAAAUCACAAAAUAACAAUAAGAUGUUUUCUUUUAAAUUAAAUCCACUGUAGAAGUAGAAAAUCUUUCAUUGAUCACAUUAAUAAAUUCAUACUUGCCUUUCAGCAAUCAUAAAUAGAAAAUAAAAAAGUUUCCAAGAUUCAACUCAAAAUGCAAUUAAAAUUUAAAUCGUCACCCCCAACCCUAGUGUUAUAAUAUCAGAGCUCAUAGCGACUACAUGCUUAUUCAACUACCAAGCAACCAAACUAACUGGAGGGCAUCCCCUCAUCUCCAACUUCUAAAAUGUCCCAUAACUACUCCUCGUUAACCUGAGCAUCUGUACUUAAAGUACAGUCACCAUACGGAAAACAACACAGCAAAAUAAGGGGUGGGAAAUCCUUCCAUAACAUAAUAAUAGGAAAAAGCACACAAUUAAAUAAAUAUCAAAAGAAUAUAAUCUCCAUUAUCCCAUCACUCUCAACAGUUAUUAUAUAUAAUCUCCUCAUUUCACAUAUCACAGCAGCACAUCAUAUUCACAAUCAAACACCAAAUACAACAUCAUCAUAUAUAUGCACGUGGACUCUCCUAUCAACCUAUAUGAAUGUGGUACCACACCUCUCAACAUCAAGUUGCCAGAGAUAUGUUUCUGAACUUUUGAACACCAAUUUACUAGAGGUAUGUGAUGACAUGUCAUCUUACGUUAUUCUUGGCAUGUUUUUCAGUCAUUUUCAGUAAGUUUUAGAAGCAAAAAGGAGGAGUAUUAGAACGAUUGCCUAUGAUUUUGAGACUUUUGUAAUUUUUUCUAUAAUUGAGUCUGUAACUCUAGUUUUCCAUAAACAUAACAAUUUUAGGGGGUUUUUGAAGUAAUUCACGAAGAAAUCAUGCAAAUCGACAAAUCAAGAACAUCCGAAGAUUUGUGAAGACUUUGGGAAGACCAAGAAUAAAGAUUCAAGAGUCAUCCUGA
RNAcentral lists this long non-coding RNA (39746 nucleotides) under Medicago truncatula (barrel medic). RNAcentral's name for it is "long non-coding RNA (MTRU_LNC001764)". The record is from RNAcentral. Lineage: Eukaryota; Viridiplantae; Streptophyta; Magnoliopsida; Fabales; Fabaceae.